RNAcentral lists this ribosomal RNA (253 nucleotides) under uncultured bacterium. RNAcentral's name for it is "partial 16S ribosomal RNA". It matches the Rfam family "Bacterial small subunit ribosomal RNA", at positions 524 to 776 of the family's 1533-position model. The record is from RNAcentral.
AACGUAGGUUCCGAGCGUUAUCCGGAUUUACUGGGCGUAAAGCGCGUUCAGGCGGUUUGGCAAGUCGGGCAUGAAAUCUCCCGGCUCAACUGGGAGGGUGCGCCGAAGACUGGAAGGCUUGAGUAUGGGAGAGGUAAGCGGAAUUCCUGGUGUAGCGGUGAAAUGCGUAGAUAUCAGGAGGAACACCUGCGGUGUAGACGGCUUACUGGACCAUAACUGACGCUGAGGCACGAAAGCGUGGGUAGCAAACAGG